GGACGGAAUCCCAUUAGAUAUUGGAGCAAUACCAACGCUUCGGCUUAUUGAAUUGAAAUCGUGCAAUGAGUCUACAAUUAUGUCGGCUUUCAAAAUAGCGGAGGAACAAGAGGAUGCUGGCAAUGAGUUACUUCAAGUUCGAGUUGAGUUCCUUUCAGAGUACCUAUUAGAGCGCUUUCAGGAGAAGAUGAAACAAACAGCAAAUCACAACUUCA
This 215-nucleotide long non-coding RNA is filed under the name Erythranthe guttata (spotted monkey flower). Its description in RNAcentral is "long non-coding RNA (EGUT_LNC003450)". The record is from RNAcentral. Lineage: Eukaryota; Viridiplantae; Streptophyta; Magnoliopsida; Lamiales; Phrymaceae.